This 312-nucleotide unclassified non-coding RNA is filed under the name uncultured fungus. RNAcentral describes it as "sequence contains ITS1". The stretch from base 1 to 100 matches the Rfam family "5.8S ribosomal RNA", at positions 50 to 154 of the family's 154-position model. Lineage: Eukaryota; Fungi. The record is from RNAcentral.
AAAGUGCGAUAACUCGUGUGAAUUGCGGAAUUCGUGAAUCAUCAAGUUUUUGAACGCAAAUGGCGCCGAUACUUGUAUUGGCACACCUAUUUGAGUGUUGGCUAAACUCUUCUCAAUCUCCGAGUUGAGAGAUGAUGAAUGUCUAUUACUUCUUGAAGGGAUAGUCAUUUUAAAUGGAUCAAUUGAAACCUUUCACUGUGACUUGUCAUGAGAAACAUAAAGGUAAAUCAAUUCCAAACUUGCUCCUUUGUAUCUUUCGAGAUAUAAUUGACUAUCAACCUCAAAUUAGGUGAGAGUACCCGCUGAAUUUAA